UAGCAUUUUUUGGAAAUAUGUGCCGGAUAAACUUCGGGAAGAGUGGCAGUGAUCUUUCAUGCGACGAAUUGUAUGGGGCCGUAGCUGGAAAACUUGGCGAUUUGCAAAUCGCCUACUAGCUAGCAUCGUCCAAAAUAACAUGAAAUAUUCAUAAAAGAACACAAACUUAUGGAUCAGCUAAGCUGCCAGAAAGAAGAUGCAGCAACCAAAUAUUACCAGAACCAAUAACAAGAUCCCCAUCAAUAUGCUACAGCAGCAAAAAACAAAUUGCAGCCAAGGUAGUGCAUAGGCAUAUCCGCCAAGGGCCCAUCUACCUAACCAGCAACGAGCAUCCUUGAGAAUUGUGCCUGGAGUUUGGUUAUUAGUCAAAUCUCCAAUGAUGACUUCAGAUCCAAGCAAUGUAAAGUAUUGAGAUGUCGACUUGGAUUUUAUAACAGUGCAGAAAAUUUCUACAGUCGGGCGUUGUUUACUACAGUUUGCAAAAACUUACAGGAAUGCAAAUCGACGGUGGAAAAGUGCUGCCCUAAAUUAAAACGUAGAGUCGGAAGUGAGUCG
Rhagoletis zephyria (snowberry fruit fly) is the source of this 555-nucleotide long non-coding RNA. RefSeq lists it as uncharacterized. The record is from RefSeq and is a predicted model, not a curated record. Lineage: Eukaryota; Metazoa; Arthropoda; Insecta; Diptera; Tephritidae.